RNAcentral lists this long non-coding RNA (253 nucleotides) under Selaginella moellendorffii. Its description in RNAcentral is "long non-coding RNA (SMOE_LNC000072)". Lineage: Eukaryota; Viridiplantae; Streptophyta; Lycopodiopsida; Selaginellales; Selaginellaceae. The record is from RNAcentral.
UUUUUUUUUAAUCCGACCGGCCAAAAGCCAUUUUCACGAUCUACUGAUCUUCAUGUUUAAUAACAAGUGUGGUAAUACACGGCUCCUCUUUCCCUCCAGCAAGUGCUCUAGAAAACUUAAAGGAAUCGUGGCCUUGUCGAUUCAUCCCAAGCCACCUGCAGAAGCAAAGACAUAAACGUUCUGUGAAGGUUUUGUAAACUUCUCAAAGUGGUUCGCCCAUAAUGGAUCCCAGGCGCAGCACGUCACAUCCAAG